This 501-nucleotide ribosomal RNA is filed under the name uncultured bacterium. RNAcentral describes it as "partial 16S ribosomal RNA". It matches the Rfam family "Bacterial small subunit ribosomal RNA", at positions 30 to 523 of the family's 1533-position model. The record is from RNAcentral.
AUUGAACGCUGGCGGCAGGCUUAACACAUGCAAGUCGAGCGGGGGAAGGUAGCUUGCUACCGGACCUAGCGGCGGACGGGUGAGUAAUGCUUAGGAAUCUGCCCAUUAGUGGGGGACAACAUCUCGAAAGGGAUGCUAAUACCGCAUACGUCCUACGGGAGAAAGCAGGGGAUCUUCGGACCUUGCGCUAAUAGAUGAGCCUAAGUCGGAUUAGCUAGUUGGUGGGGUAGAGGCCUACCAAGGCGACGAUCUGUAGCGGGUCUGAGAGGAUGAUCCGCCACACUGGGACUGGGCCACGGCCCAGACUCCUACGGGGGGCAGCAGUGGGGAAUAUGGGACAAUGGGGGUAACCCUGAUCCAGCCAUGCCGCGUGUGUGAAGAAGGCCUUAUGGUUGUAAGGCACUUUAAGCGAGGAGGAGGCUCUUUUGGUUAAUACCCAAGAUGAGUGGACGUUACUCGCAGAAUAAGCACCGGCUAACUCUGUGCCAGCCGCCGCCGUAA